GGAAUCUUCCGCAAUGGACGAAAGCCUGACGGAGCAACGCCGCGUGAGUGAUGAAGGCUUUCGGGUCGUAAAACUCUGUUGUUAGGGAAGAACAAGUAUGAGAGUAACUGCUCGUACCUUGACGGUACCUAACCAGAAAGCCACGGCUAACUACGUGCCAGCAGCCGCGGUAAUACGUAGGUGGCAAGCGUUAUCCGGAAUUAUUGGGCGUAAAGCGCGCGCAGGCGGUUUCUUAAGUCUGAUGUGAAAGCCCACGGCUCAACCGUGGAGGGUCAUUGGAAACUGGGGAACUUGAGUGCAGAAGAGAAAAGCGGAAUUCCACGUGUAGCGGUGAAAUGCGUAGAGAUGUGGAGGAACACCAGUGGCGAAGGCGGCUUUUUGGUCUGUAACUGACGCUGAGGCGCGAAAGCGUGGGGAGCAAACAGGAUUAGAUACCCUGGUAGUCCACGCCGUAAACGAUGAGUGCUAAGUGUUAGAGGGUUUCCGCCCUUUAGUGCUGCAGCUAACGCAUUAAGCACUCCGCCUGGGGAGUACGGUCGCAAGACUGAAACUCAAAGGAAUUGACGGAAGC
This 571-nucleotide ribosomal RNA is filed under the name uncultured bacterium. Its description in RNAcentral is "bacterial SSU rRNA". It matches the Rfam family "Bacterial small subunit ribosomal RNA", at positions 358 to 920 of the family's 1533-position model. The record is from RNAcentral.